AUAGGUUAUUGGGAAAGUGAAGUUAUUUAGCUUUGUUUCUAUGUGGCAUUAUAAAAUUUUUCUUCCAGGAAACAGUGAGAAAACAUCCCAGAAGAGACACCUAAAAUGAGAGGCAUAAAAUCUCAGAAGAGAGCAAGAAGCGACUGCAGGAAUCUGCUAGCACACUGCCCUGGGGUGUGUGAAGAGGGUCCAUAUUAUCCUUUCCUGCUGGAGAAGCAGAUUGAGGAAGGGACCACAAAGAGGGCUCUUGACAGCAUGGGUUAUAGAAGGAAAGAUUCCAGAAAAAAAUAUUUGGACAUGGAACAAAAGCCAUCAGAAGAAACCUGAUGUGGUAAGGUUUUACGUUUUCACAGCUAGA
This is a non-coding RNA of Anas platyrhynchos (mallard), 358 nucleotides long. NCBI's taxonomy places the organism in Eukaryota, Metazoa, Chordata, Aves, Anseriformes, Anatidae. The record is from RefSeq and is a predicted model, not a curated record.